CCACCCCCCGCCUUCCCUGCCCAAGCCUCCUCCGAGAAGCCCUUGGAACUUGUGCCGGGUAGCUAGGCGUCCGGGCACACGCGGGCUGCGUGGCCUUUGGAAUUGUGGGCAUGGCAGCCCUGUGCCCUGACAUCCUCAGUGUGGCAAGCCAUGAACAUCUCUAUGUGUCAUGAACACAGGAAACAUCUCUCUUCAUUAGGCAGGCCAGGUAGAU
RNAcentral lists this long non-coding RNA (214 nucleotides) under Homo sapiens (human). Its description in RNAcentral is "HSALNT0288165". Lineage: Eukaryota; Metazoa; Chordata; Mammalia; Primates; Hominidae. The record is from RNAcentral.